AACCUUAUGGACCUGCGGGCGUAUACCUGCGGAGGGAUCAUUAUAGAGUUUUCUAAACUCCCAAACCCAUGUGAACUUACCAUUGUUGCCUCGGCAGAACCUACCCGGUACCUACCCUGGAACUAGCUACCCUGUAGCUACCCAGGAACGGGCUACCCUGUAACGUCCUGCCGGUGGACUUCUAAACUCUUGUUAUUUAUAGUAAUCUGAGCGUCUUAUUUUAAUAAGUCAAAACUUUCA
RNAcentral lists this unclassified non-coding RNA (240 nucleotides) under soil metagenome. Its description in RNAcentral is "partial contains 5.8S ribosomal RNA, internal transcribed spacer 2, and large subunit ribosomal RNA". The record is from RNAcentral.